Long non-coding RNA from Alligator mississippiensis (American alligator), 2357 nucleotides. RefSeq lists it as uncharacterized. The transcript has 2 exons. The record is from RefSeq and is a predicted model, not a curated record. Lineage: Eukaryota; Metazoa; Chordata; Crocodylia; Alligatoridae.
UGUAAUUCCGGGCCAAACUUGUCGUCAACUCUGAUUUGAGCUCAGCUCCUGGGUCGAACUGUUUGCAAACAAUAAAUCUGAGAUGGACCCAGCCUGUGUGUGUGUGUGUGUGUGACUCUCCUGGGGUGGAUUGAACAAGCCUCCAGGGGAACGAAACUAGCCGUUUGGGCAACAAUUUGGCGAGCCAGCCAGGAGCCCUUCUGGACCACUCCGGGGCCACGACGAGACCGGCAAAGGGGAUUCGUGAAGUGGCGCCACCAGACCGCUCUUGGAGCCUGUCACGAUCCCCGGGUACGUGAGUCGGGGCACCCGGAAGGUUAAAGGCUCUCCUUUGAAUGAGUCACCCAGGCUGAGUGGGUCCGAAGAGACGGUGCCAGGGUGUUGACGGAGAAAGUAUUCAUUUGCCUUGUGUCACUUGGGUAGUUUGUUUUGUUGAGUGGUCUCUCGGGGAAUUUGGAAUUUUGGAACGUUCAGUAUAUAAGUCUGAACAUUAGCCCCGGGGACUUUGUUCUGAGUGAUUUUGUUUUAGUGUUCAGCAAAUAGGUCUGAAUUUUGAUUGACACAAUGGGUUCGGGUAGCUCCCGAGAAGAAAACUCCACAACCCCAUUAGGAUGCGUGCUAAGAAACUUUAGUGAGUUCAAAGGGAGUUACGGGGUAGAAAUGUUAAAAGAUAGAUUAAUUACUCUCUGUCAGUUGGAGUGGCCGGAUGCCGGUUCUUUUGAUGUGAAUCUGGCUAAGGCAGUGUGGGGAAGGAGGUAGGUCUAACUGAAUGAAUGUGUGUCCCUUUUGUGUUUCCCUCCCUCCUUCCACUGUAUGAGCCGGUGUCACGUCAGUAGCCUUGAGUCUGGGCAGUAAGGACUGCGGGGCAAGGCACUGAGCAGCCCAGACAUCCUAAAUAAGCCUUUCCUGUGUCUUUCUGUGUGCUCAAAAUCAUGGUGACUGGAUCCGAACCUUAUUAAAUACAGGUUUGCUGCACCCUUCCAGAGCCUCCCGCUUGAUGCACCAAUCCACAACUUCAAACCGGGUAACCAAGUUUUGGUACAAAAGUGGAAGAAGGAUCCCCUUGCGGAAAGGUGGGAGGGACCCUACCAGGUGCUGCUGACUACACACACAGCUGUCCGCCUAUCAAACAGCGAUAAGUGGACCCAUUGCUCGAGGAUAAAGCCUUUUCAUCAGAAGGACGCCAACUCCCAGGGUGUGGUCACUCCAAAACCUGAUAACACCCGGGAACAAAAAGCCAACAGGUGGAAAAGUGAACCUGCUGGAGAUUUGAAGUUAUGCUUGCAAAGAUGUGGGCCCUAGUCUAUUUGUUGGGACUCUUGUCCCUUUUAGGUAUUUCGAACCCAAAAGUUAUGUCCACCUGUUAUACUUGUUCUCAAAACAAACUUGCAACCCUCAGUAAGGUUCAGUACAACUGCAAAACUGCUUAGCUCUUAAUUACUUACUUGCAAGUGAAGGAGGGGGUGCAGGAAGUUGAAUUUAUCAAACUGUUGUGUUAAAAUUGAUGAUAAUGGUGAAUUGAUAAAGGACCUAGCAAAUAAUAUGGAAAAGGUAGCACAUGUCCCAGUCCAGACAUGGAACGGGUGGAACUUUAACUGGUUCACAUCCUGGCUUCCUCAGCCUGGAUGGUUGAAGGGUGUGUUGAUGGCCUUAUGCUUGUUAGUGUCAACACUUUGCUUGCUUCCUUGUAUGCUACCGUGCAUCAUAACCCUUCUGAAACAAACUGUUCAGUCAGUUGUUAACCGUGAAAUGCUUGUACACUAUCAAAGAUUGGCUAUUGCUAACACUUAUAAAAAUUUUUAGAGUAAGAAAGCAUCUGAGGGGGGAGUUAUAGUAAAAAUAGGUUAAACUACAUGAUUUUAAAAUAAUGCUUGAGCAGCAACUAUAUAAUAGAAGUGUCUUAUAACCAUCUUAUAACCCUUGUGCAAGAUCAUAAGGUCUAACAACUUAGCUGUGGUCCGCUGUUCUUACUGCUUGCCUUGCAUCUUAAAGUUAUCCCUGCCCAAUGCCCUAAGGUUACGCUAAGAUAAGAGGUUACUAAAAUUUACUAACUUUGCCGCAGUUCCUCUUUUCCUCUGUGCAUGCGACAAAAGAUUUGGCUGCAGUUCUGCUUUUUGAGUGCGCAUGCACUAACCCUGAUAAGUCACACUAACCAAUAAUAAGUUAAGUGCAGCCUACAAAAUAAAACGUAACAACUAGGAAACGGUAAUGCUGCCAAUAAACAUCUAACACGUUAAAACUCUAUGUUCAAUGUAAGCUAUAAAAAUGUAAUUCCAGGCCAAACUUGUCGUCAACUCUGAUUUGAGCUCAGCUCCUGGGUCGAACUGUUUGCAAACAAUAAAUCUGAGAUGAACCCA